CACCGCGGUUAUACGAGAGGCCCAAGUUGACACAAGCCGGCGUAAAGGGUGGUUAAUAAAAUAUAAACUAAAGCCGAACACCUUCAAGACCGUUAUACGUAUCCGAAGGCAGGAAGACCCCCAACGAAAGUGGCUUUAACCAAAAUGAAACCACGAAAGCUACGAUA
RNAcentral lists this ribosomal RNA (167 nucleotides) under Cryptocentrus sericus. Its description in RNAcentral is "partial 12S rRNA". Lineage: Eukaryota; Metazoa; Chordata; Actinopteri; Gobiiformes; Gobiidae. The record is from RNAcentral.